UUGAACGCUGGCGGCAUGCUUUACACAUGCAAGUCGAACGGCAGCGCGGGCUUCGGCCUGGCGGCGAGUGGCGAACGGGUGAGUAAUGCAUCGGAACGUGCCCAGUAGUGGGGGAUAGCCCGGCGAAAGCCGGAUUAAUACCGCAUACGACCUGAGGGUGAAAGCGGGGGACCGAAAGGCCUCGCGCUAUUGGAGCGGCCGAUGUCGGAUUAGCUAGUUGGUGGGGUAAAGGCUUACCAAGGCGACGAUCCGUAGCUGGUCUGAGAGGACGACCAGCCACACUGGGACUGAGACACGGCCCAGACUCCUACGGGAGGCAGCAGUGGGGAAUUUUGGACAAUGGGGGCAACCCUGAUCCAGCCAUGCCGCGUACGGGAAGAAGGCCUUCGGGUUGUAAACCGCUUUUGUUCGGGAAGAAAUCCUCUGGGCUAAUACCCCGGGGGGAUGACGGUACCGGAAGAAUAAGCACCGGCUAACUACGUG
Molecule: ribosomal RNA, 483 nt
Filed under: uncultured bacterium
Lineage: Bacteria
Description: partial 16S ribosomal RNA
Rfam family: Bacterial small subunit ribosomal RNA
Source: RNAcentral